ACGGGAGGCAGCAGUGAGGAAUAUUGGUCAAUGGACGGAAGUCUGAACCAGCCAAGUCGCGUGAAGGAAGACGGUUCUAUGGAUUGUAAACUUCUUUUGCUCGAGGGUAAAGUGAGCCACGUGUGGCUUAUUGCAAGUAUCGAGUGAAUAAGCAUCGGCUAACUCCGUGCCAGCAGCCGCGGUAAUACGGAGGAUGCGAGCGUUAUCCGGAUUUAUUGGGUUUAAAGGGUGCGUAGGCGGGCUGUUAAGUCAGCGGUGAAACCCCCGGGCUCAACCUGGGGACUGCCAUUGAAACUGGCGGCCUUGAGUACGUUGGGAGUGCGCGGAAUGUGUGGUGUAGCGGUGAAAUGCAUAGAUAUCACACAGAACACCGAUCGCGUAGGCAGCGCACUACGCCGCAACUGACGCUGAGGCACGAAGGCGCGGGGAUCGAACAGGAUUAGAUACCCUGGUA
RNAcentral lists this ribosomal RNA (454 nucleotides) under uncultured Barnesiella sp. Its description in RNAcentral is "partial 16S ribosomal RNA". It matches the Rfam family "Bacterial small subunit ribosomal RNA", at positions 341 to 792 of the family's 1533-position model. The record is from RNAcentral. Lineage: Bacteria; Pseudomonadati; Bacteroidota; Bacteroidia; Bacteroidales; Barnesiellaceae.